Canis lupus familiaris (dog) is the source of this 828-nucleotide long non-coding RNA. RefSeq lists it as uncharacterized. The record is from RefSeq and is a predicted model, not a curated record. Lineage: Eukaryota; Metazoa; Chordata; Mammalia; Carnivora; Canidae. The transcript has 3 exons.
CACGGGCCUGAGGCGCCGCCGAGGCCGCUGGGCCCAGGCUCCUAGGGCAGCCGGGAGGGCUCCUGAAGAGCAAGAGGCUGCAGGAAUGCAGAGGAUGGUCAGGUCUGGGAAAAAUGGGCUUCCAACCCUCCCUGGGGUCGAGGAAUUGGGGUGAGCACUGUGGGGAGCUGCCCUCCUCCCUCCUUUCCUGCACUCCUCAGGCUUGACGAGGGCACCUGGGCCAGCAGAUUCUCUACCAAGGUGAGCUGAAUGGCCCGAAGACUUGAAAGAAGGACUGGCGACUCCGGGGACUCUGUGGGAGCCUGCAUCCUCCCCUGCAUCCUCCCCUGCAUCCUCUCCCUGUACCUCCCCUCACCCCUGUGGGUGGUACUCCACUCCCCACAUCCCCUGUCCUCUUCAUUCCCUGUCUUUCACCCACCUGUUUCCCUCUUCUGCUUUCUCCGCAUCCCUACUCUUAACGAAAGUAGCUCCAACAAAGAAAUAUUCUUUAAAUAAGCAUCAUGAAUAUGGAAUCAAAUUUGAGAUUACUGUAUAUUAAGAAACCCAGCGUUGACAUUUCUGUGCCUCUUGCAAAGGCAAGUUCUUCUACUCCGUGGCAUUAAUUUGAUGUUGGUGUGGCCUGGUCCAUCCUUCCCUGUGGUUCCACAGCCUGCACCAGACAGAACAGGCUCCCCAUCCGAUAUAAACAGAGGAAACACAUUCUCAAAGAUAGCAACCUCAUGCUGUUAUUUUAGCAGCAGGAGCCUCCAGGUAUUUGUAGUUUUAAAAAAGUAUUCAAGAGAGCUCCGCAAACUGGUUAAGGAAGCCAUUGUGAGGUGGAAGGGACAA